CUACGGGCGGCACCAGUGAGGAAUAUUGCACAAUGGGGGGAACCCUGAUGCAGCAACGCCGCGUGGGGGAUGACGCAUUUCGGUGUGUAAACUCCUUUUAUAUGUCAAGAAAAUGACGGUAGCAUAUGAAUAAGCACCGGCUAACUCCGUGCCAGCAGCCGCGGUAAUACGGAGGGUGCAAGCGUUACUCGGAAUCACUGGGCGUAAAGGACGCGUAGGCGGGUUGGAAAGUCAGGUGUGAAAUCCUACAGCUUAACUGUAGAACUGCACUUGAAACUUCUAAUCUAGAGUAUGGGAGGGGGAGAUGGAAUUAGUGGUGUAGGGGUAAAAUCCGUAGAUAUCACUAGGAAUACCUAAAGCCAAGGCGAUCUCCCGGAACAUUACUGACGCUAAGGCGUGAAAGCGUGGGGAGCAAACAGGAUUAGAUACCCUUGUAGUC
RNAcentral lists this ribosomal RNA (439 nucleotides) under uncultured bacterium. Its description in RNAcentral is "partial 16S ribosomal RNA". It matches the Rfam family "Bacterial small subunit ribosomal RNA", at positions 339 to 795 of the family's 1533-position model. The record is from RNAcentral.